CAGCGCUUUUCGCUCGGCAGCCUCGUUUUCGAUGCAGGCUUUCCGCGAGACUCAGCUGCCCAAUGAGAAGGCGCCGGGGGUUUAUCGCCUGCACUCGCACUCCCGUGCUCUCUGUUGUAAAAUGGCGGAGGUGAGCUGAGCUGAACCGAACUGGUCCAAGCUACGUUCCUUGGGUAUGUCCUUACAUUCGCUCCUGCUACUGGCCGGGCUGGUUUCCGGGUAGCAACGAAGGCGGGUCUGUGGGAUUCGGGAAACAGGAGGACAAGAGAAAAAUCCGUCGAACCGCAUUCAUUAUGUGAUCUGUGAGAGCUGCUGGGACGAGAGUCCAAAGGGUUUAAGGUUAGGGCACUUGGAGUGUGUGUCCGGGAGGGACUGACCCAGAAGGGGUAGAGAGUGGAACGUCAGAAUGGGAUGCCGGGUGGCUGUGCUUAUAUUCCUAAGCAGCUAGUAAAGUUUCAUAUGCACUGCUUUUAGCCAACUGUGUUGAUGGUUAGGUUAGGUUGGGUUGUAUGGCUGCUAGCGGUUACUAUUCAAAUGCACUUUAGCUAUGAAGACACCGGUUAUUGUGCAGACGCUUGUUCUACGUUAUAAAAUUAUUAAUGCGUUUCUAUAAUGCAUGUUAGGUGAGAUGUAUAGUGGGUUCAGUGAAUAUGCCCAGUUGGCAUCAUGCCGCGUCUCUUUCCACAGACUGUCACUUCAGUCCGGUCUGCAGCUGUGGUUCAGCACCCGCCCGUGUGUCUAAGUUGGCAUCGAUAGCUGCUGAAUUCACACUCUGAGGUCCAUCAGCUGGGGACGGUAGUUUGUGCAAUAUUUCAGUCCUCCUGCGUUAAGUUAAUUUACCGUUGCUUGGAAUUGCCCUCAAUGAUACUGGGCGGUUCUUCCAUUUAAGCAGUUAGCAGGUAUCUGGUCAACUUAUAAUUAGGCAGUUACGAUGUAAUAAUCUUCUGCCCAAUACAGCAUAAAUAACAGUCUAGCUCAUAUGAAAUACAAACCUCGUGGCAAUUGAUAAGCAUUAUUUAUUUGUAUAUUUUCUAGGUUAAUAAUGUAAAUAGUUCCUCUGUUAACCUGCCCUGUCAGCAAGUAAAUAAAAGAUUCUAGAGCCUGAUAAGUACAUGAAUCCAUAUGUGUGGAAGCGUCUACAGUUUCUUCCGCUGUGUUGUAUAUUAUCUUUAAUAUUAUGAUUGCCCUGAGCUCCGCGGGCAAUCGCUGAACACUGAAGGAGAUGGUAAUGUAACUUACCAACGUGCUACAGUUUUUGUUAUUUAACUUCCCCCCUCAUUUUCACAAUAAUGUUGAAAAUCUCUUGUAUUAUUUCUUUUAAUUGAAAUACGUUAUGAAUAAAAAUCUAUACACCUUUUGGUUUAAUAAAGUGGUAUUAUUUUGUCAAUGUAAACAACUUCCGCAUCUGUCAAGAUGUUGAUGUUGAUUUAGUUUUAAAAAACCCUUGCUAUGACACUUGUCACCAAUUAAUCUUUAGCGAACUUGUCUUGUAAUCCUGCGGGUUAAGCGACUUGUAAUUUAUGUGUGCAUGAGCGAACAGUAUAUAGCAUCACUUAUCUUACUGCAAACUUGUUUUUCUGGUUGGGAAAUAUGUUGUAGUACCCUGCAUAUAGAUUAUGUUACUCUAGCUGUAGGCAAGAGUUAUUUCAGCCAUAGCAUGGAACAUCAUGGAGUGGAUACUUUUGUAUUAUAAAAAAACAACCUGGAAUUCAGGUUAUGACCAUGUAUAUUAAAUUCCAAAAUCUUUGUUAUUUCUUCUAGUGAUACCAAACAUCAUUUUCUAAAAAUGUUUGCAUAGACUCUUCAAGCUGUGACUUUUUAAUGCAUCGAUCAGAAGAUCGGGUAUCUUUUGUGAAAUUUACCUUGAAGAUUCCAAACUUCAACCUGACUCUGAUCUCACUCCUUUCACUGAUCUCUUCGGUACUUUUGUGGAGAUUUAUUGAUGUUCUGCUGAGUGGGAAUCACUUUCCAGGAUGGUGCCAUCUACUUGCUUAAAUGAGCAGGCAGUUUUAGCAGUUUUAAUCUUUUUAUAGUCACUAACAUUUUUUGUUUGGUGUUACCUUAAUGUUUGUAAACAAUCAUAAUGUGAUAUAAUUACCAUUAUAUUAGGAAUCAUUGUGAUAUUUAUGGUGUGUGUGUGUAUGGCAUAUAGUCUCACAAUCAUAUGGUAAUCCGUGUGGGUUUCUAAGGGAAUUCUUCACUGUUGCUGUCCACAUUCAUUGCCUCUGCCCUCUUCAUUUGGCAUUUGUCAGCAGACCCAAUGUGCACAUUUUCCCGCCCUCCUGCCUUUCCGCGAGUCGUCCAUCUUCCCAGGACAGAAGUGGACACAUUAACACACCUGCCGAAUAACUGCUUGCUGUAGGAUGAGCCACACAUCAACGGAGACUGGGAAGCCUGCCUCUCGGGGAGAAGCGUGGUCAUUGUACUACACCUGUUGCAUGACACUUUAGGUGCUCAAAAUUCAUGGAUGUUACGGCAAAAAAAAAUUGGUUAAAGUAUGGAUCAGUUUCUUCAGCUCGUUUGUCUAGAAGGUGAAAUGUGCAAUAUGUUGAAACUAUGGGAUAUGACUGUUUUAUCGUGCUGGUCUGUUUUAUUGUUACUAAUUUGUCUAUUCUCUAUUAAAUUUCGUUGCUGUGGAGACAAUAAAGAAUCUGAAUCUGAAUAGUAAUGAAAAUGAUGCAGUUUUCAUGUAGUCUGAAGAGCACUGGGUAUAGGGCUGCACUGGGGUGAGGUAGCAAGUUGUGUCGUUGUUGGGGUUUGGGAUAGCAAGCCCCGUUUUGGAGAUAACUAUACAACUUACUGCCUUGCACAGUAAUGCUUUUCAGCCUCCUUUUCCAGUCAUUCAGUGCUGGACUGUUUCUUCGUUUUCUCAUCACAUUCACUGCUAUUGGGUUUUUUUUUCAUUUGCAAAAUUGCUGUAUGAGCUGCAGGAGCUGUUACGUCUUUUAUGCUUGUACACAUUAUUCCUUGAUGAACUGGCCCAGGAAACAAAUGCUCUGUGGGUCACGAUGGGGUUUUGUUCUGAUGAACCUUUCGUAAGGCGAAAGUAUUGUAAGACGGAAUGGUAUUUUAAUACAGUAACCUAAGCUAACAGUAACCUAAGCUUUUAAACAUGCUUAGAACGCUUACAUUAGCCUACAGUUGGGCAAAAUCAUUAAUACAAAGCCUAUUUUAUAAUAAAGUGUUGAAUAUCUCAUGUAAUUUAUUUUAUAAUGUACUGAAUGUGAAAAACGGAAUGGAACUGGAAUACCCAAAACCCAAAUACCCUAACAUGGACCAUCGUAACCUGGACCAUCGUAACAUUAUCUUCAUGCUUGCAUUUUAGUGGAAAAGCCACCACUUCCAGCCCUGCCUAUCAGCCAGCCCUGGUCUCAUUACUAGUUAGUCAGCUGCUGAACUAGCCGACUGUAGAUCCACUGUGGGUCGAGCCGCAUGCUGGUGAUAUUUGAUGGGGCCGGACGCGAAACCCAGGCAGAAGGAAAAAUGAUUGGUUCAGAGAUAACCAGACCAGAUUGUAGAGGAGGUGGGUCCAACCAGUCUGAUGUUCUACUCUAUUUUAAGGAGGAACCCCGACAACUCCUGGCUUGUCUGUAGCAUGCCACUCUGAAAAAAGACAAUCCAACUCUGCCACUAUA
Molecule: long non-coding RNA, 3635 nt
Organism: Brienomyrus brachyistius
Lineage: Eukaryota; Metazoa; Chordata; Actinopteri; Osteoglossiformes; Mormyridae
Exons: 4
Source: RefSeq, a predicted model, not a curated record